Molecule: long non-coding RNA, 932 nt
Filed under: Coffea arabica (coffee)
Lineage: Eukaryota; Viridiplantae; Streptophyta; Magnoliopsida; Gentianales; Rubiaceae
Description: long non-coding RNA (CARA_LNC006500)
Source: RNAcentral
GAAACCCAAAAAAAAUGUAUCUAUACUUAUUGAUUCAAUAGAAAAUAACAAAAGAUUUUUAUUUAUCCAAGCAUUAUCGGUGUUGAAAAAAAAUUGAAAUUCAUUGUUUUUUUUUUUUGGUUCUUGGGGAGGUUAAACUAGCCUAGCAUCUAUUUACACAAACAAAAUGUGAAGUAGUUAUCCCCACUACAUCAUUAUCCCCAAUACAUCAUUUCCUAUUAACUGUUUGAGUUCAUCUAGUAAAAGCAGAAUUUUCAUCUGGUGGUGAGUAACAAGCAGACUUUUCAUAUGGUGGUUCUGAGUAACAAGCAUAAUUUGUAUCCAUGUUAAUGCUUCUCUUUGCUAGCCAGUCUGCACAGUACUUCCCUUCUCUCCAAUUGUGCUGGAUAUUACAGUUUCAAUCUUGAUUGAGUAGCACUCUGACCUGAGUAAGAAGAUUGAAAUGUAUGCUUCUGUUGUUUUCUUCUUUAACUAGAUUCAUGCUUGUUUCAAACUCCAAAACUACUUUCCUGUAUCCCUUUGCCUAAUCAAGUCUCAAACCAUGUAUCAUAGCCCAAAGUUUAGCUACUACGUUCGAAACUGUACCCUUUAAAAGAAGCCUCAUUUCCAGAUUCCACAUCAUCCCUAAGCAAUUCUCUAGCCCCAGUCGGUCCUGGGUUACUGACUGCAGCUCUAUCCACGUUUCCUCGUGACUUUUUCAACUGUAAAACCGAGUGAGAGCAAUUGGGAAUGGAAAUGGAAAUGCAAAUAGGAAACAGAAGCGAAAACGGAAACAGAAAUUGCAAUCGCAAUUAGUCUUGGGAAGAAAGGUAUAUAUUCACAUGCUGCUUCUUCUUCUUUUUUUCUUUCCUUUUUUUCCAUCCAGGUUUGCUCGGUGUUUUGUUUUUGAGUUGAGUGGAUUCUACCUUUUUAGACCCAACUGUUCUCAGCUU